CAACGGAUAUCUUGGCUCCUGCAACGAUGAAGAACGCAGCGAAAUGCGAUACCUAGUGUGAAUUGCAGAAUUCCGCGAAUCAUCGAGUCUUUGAACGCAAGUUGCGCCCGAGGCUUGUCCCGAGGGCAUGCCUGUCUGAGCGUCA
RNAcentral lists this ribosomal RNA (145 nucleotides) under Alobiellopsis dominicensis. Its description in RNAcentral is "partial 5.8S ribosomal RNA". It matches the Rfam family "5.8S ribosomal RNA". From Rfam's summary of the family: 5.8S ribosomal RNA (5.8S rRNA) is a component of the large subunit of the eukaryotic ribosome. It is transcribed by RNA polymerase I as part of the 45S precursor that also contains 18S and 28S rRNA. The record is from RNAcentral. Lineage: Eukaryota; Viridiplantae; Streptophyta; Jungermanniopsida; Jungermanniales; Cephaloziaceae.